CGGAGGGUGCGAGCGUUGUCCGGAAUCACUGGGCGUAAAGGGCGCGUAGGUGGCGCGGGCAGUCAACGGUGAAAGUUCGGGGCUCAACCCUGAAUCGGCCGUCGAUACUCCCGUGCUUGAGCACUGUAGAGGCUAAUGGAAUUCCGGGUGUAGCGGUGGAAUGCGUAGAGAUCCGGAAGAACACCGGUGGCGAAGGCGGUUAGCUGGGCAGUUGCUGACACUGAGGCGCGACAGCGUGGGGAGCAAACAGGAUUAGAUACCCUGGUAGUCCACGCCGUAAACGAUGGGUACUAGGUGCUUGGGGGAGCGACCCCCUGAGUGCCGGCGCUAACGCAUUAAGUACCCCGCCUGGGGAGUACGGCCGCAAGGCUG
Molecule: ribosomal RNA, 372 nt
Filed under: uncultured organism
Description: bacterial SSU rRNA
Rfam family: Bacterial small subunit ribosomal RNA
Source: RNAcentral